AUUUGCUAUUAUAAUUUACUAUGAAAAAAGUCAUUAUUCAAAGUACGUUUUUAUUGUCAAAGAGUCAUCACUUUAAAAUGAGAGCUUUAAUAACUAGAUGGAGGCAAGAGAGGGGUAUCGUCGUUCCUAUAGGAAACGAGGAAGCCUAUUACGGAUAUUCAUCUCUGAAAGCGCUUCGUGAUUUGGGAUGUACAUUACCAGUGGAGGUGUUUUAUAUGGGCCCGCAAGAUUUGGCUCCUUUUUAUAUAAACAUGUUGGGCUCAAUAGAAAAUGUAAGCUUCGUAGAUUUAUCAAGCAUUGUAACAGAAAAUCUUGAAAGAUGGGCCUGCAAACCUUUUUCUUUGCUUUUUUCUUCCUUUAAAGAAGUCAUUUUAAUG
Zophobas morio is the source of this 377-nucleotide long non-coding RNA. RefSeq lists it as uncharacterized. The record is from RefSeq and is a predicted model, not a curated record. The transcript is spliced from 4 exons. Lineage: Eukaryota; Metazoa; Arthropoda; Insecta; Coleoptera; Tenebrionidae.